This 633-nucleotide long non-coding RNA is filed under the name Homo sapiens (human). RNAcentral's name for it is "non-protein coding lnc-IFT46-1:23". The record is from RNAcentral. Lineage: Eukaryota; Metazoa; Chordata; Mammalia; Primates; Hominidae.
GCGGGCGUCGUCGUCUCGGCCCUGCAGCCGCGCCAGGAGUCCGCGCUGCACAAAGCUCUGGCGGGCGGCGCGGCCCCGGCCGCCGCUCAGCUCCACCGCGCGUUCCAGAUCCUCCAGGGCGCCUGCGGGACCGACGAGACGGGCGGGGCGGGGGUCAGCGGAGGCCAGGGCGGCCUUGCCCGAGCCCCAGCCCACCUGCGGCCGCGCGGAUCACCGUGGUUCUUGCGGCUCCCGGGCGUGGCCAUUUACAACCCGCCUCGCACCUGCUAGAGAAAAGACCCCGGCCAUGGAUGGGAGACCUAGGACAAAGAUGGAAAAGAGUGCUUGGCACCAGACAGCUGCUCAAUGAGGAACACAACUGCAUCAUGGAGAAUCCCCAGCAUCCUCAAACCGUUAACACCUAGAAGAAUCAGAAGCACCAGGGAAGUGAGGAGCGCAGUCAACAGGAAACAGCAUGGUCCUACAGAAAUGCCUAUGCUAUAGUCACUCUGCCAGAGGCUGCUCCAGGGUGAAUUAUAGUACAUAUUAGCUCGAAAUUAGCAUCAGAUAGCCAUUAAAAUGAUGCUGAUACAGAUCUAUCAAUAUGGAAAAUGUUUGUGAUAGACGGCUAAGUGAAAAAAGCAUGCCACCAAA